GACGAACGCUGGCGGCGUGCUUAACACAUGCAAGUCGAACGGAAAGGCCCUGCUUUUGUGUGGUGCUCGAGUGGCGAACGGGUGAGUAACACGUGAGUAACCUGCCCUUGACUUUGGGAUAACUUCAGGAAACUGGGGCUAAUACCGGAUAGGAGCUCCUGCUGCAUGGUGGGGGUUGGAAAGUUUCGGCGGUUGGGGAUGGACUCGCGGCUUAUCAGCUUGUUGGUGGGGUAGUGGCUUACCAAGGCUUUGACGGGUAGCCGGCCUGAGAGGGUGACCGGCCACAUGGGGACUGAGACACGGCCCAGACUCCUACGGGAGGCAGCAGGGGGGAAUAUUGCACAAUGGGCGGACGCCUGAUGCAGCAACGCCGCGUGCGGGAUGACGGCCUUCGGGUUGUAAACCGCUUUCGCCUGUGACGAAGAGUGAGUGACGGUAAUGGGUAAAGAAGCACCGGCUAACUACGUG
Molecule: ribosomal RNA, 468 nt
Filed under: uncultured bacterium
Lineage: Bacteria
Description: partial 16S ribosomal RNA
Rfam family: Bacterial small subunit ribosomal RNA
Source: RNAcentral